GGAGUUCGAGGAAAAUCCCCCGAUCGGAACCAUCAAGGAUGAUCCGGGAGCUAUC
This 55-nucleotide transfer RNA is filed under the name Pseudo-nitzschia pungens. Its description in RNAcentral is "partial tRNA". Lineage: Eukaryota; Bacillariophyta; Bacillariophyceae; Bacillariales; Bacillariaceae. The record is from RNAcentral.